CAGGUGUAGCGGUGAAAUGCCGUAGAGAUCUGGAGGAAUACCGGUGGGCGAAGGCGGCCCCCUGGACAAAGAACUGACCGCUCAUGGUGCGAAAGCGUGGGGAGCAAACAGGGAUUAGAUACCCUGGUAGUUCCACGCCCGUAAACGAUGUCGACUCGGAGGUUGUGCCCCUUGAGGCGUGGCUUCCGGAGCUAACGCGUUAAGUCGACCGCCUGGGGAGUACGGCCGCAAGGUUAAAACUCAAAUGAAUUGACGGGGGCCCGCACAAGCGGUGGAGCAUGUGGUUUAAUUCGAUGCAACGCGAAGAACCUUACCUACUCUUGACAUCCAGAGAACUUUCCAGAGAUGGAUUGGUGCCUUCGGGAACUCUGAGACAGGUGCUGCAUGGCUGUCGUCAGCUCGUGUUGUGAAAUGUUGGGUUAAGUCCCGCAACGAGCGCAACCCUUAUCCUUUGUUGCCAGCGGUUAGGCCGGGAACUCAAAGGAGACUGCCAGUGAUAAACUGGAGGAAGGUGGGGAUGACGUCAAGUCAUCAUGGCCCUUACGAGUAGGGCUACACACGUGCUACAAUGGCGCAUACAAAGAGAAGCGACCUCGCGAGAGCAAGCGGACCUCAUAAAGUGCGUCGUAGUCCGGAUUGGAGUCUGCAACUCGACUCCAUGAAGUCGGAAUCGCUAGUAAUCGUGGAUCAGAAUGCCACGGUGAAUACGUUCCCGGGCCUUGUACACACCGCCCGUCACACCAUGGGAUU
This 750-nucleotide ribosomal RNA is filed under the name Enterobacter sp. OM3. RNAcentral describes it as "bacterial SSU rRNA". It matches the Rfam family "Bacterial small subunit ribosomal RNA", at positions 670 to 1411 of the family's 1533-position model. The record is from RNAcentral. Lineage: Bacteria; Pseudomonadati; Pseudomonadota; Gammaproteobacteria; Enterobacterales; Enterobacteriaceae.